RNAcentral lists this ribosomal RNA (740 nucleotides) under uncultured Agaricales. RNAcentral's name for it is "eukaryotic LSU rRNA". The stretch from base 231 to 384 matches the Rfam family "5.8S ribosomal RNA". The record is from RNAcentral. Lineage: Eukaryota; Fungi; Basidiomycota; Agaricomycetes; Agaricales.
AGUUCGUAGGUGACCUGCGGAGGAUCAUUAUUGAAUGUUUGAAGCAGUUGAGCUGGUCUUAACGGACAUGUGCUUGCUGCUUCUAUUCAUCUCAUCCACCUGUGCACUUAUUGUAGAGCUUUGAGGAACGUCCCUAGGACUAGUAUUCAGGUUCUAUGUAUUUUAUACAAACUCUAUGAAUGUCUUGAAUGUCUUUUAUUGGGACUUAACUGGCCCUUUAAACUUUAUACAACUUUCAGCAACGGAUCUCUUGGCUCUCGCAUCGAUGAAGAACGCAGCGAAAUGCGAUAAGUAAUGUGAAUUGCAGAAUUCAGUGAAUCAUCGAAUCUUUGAACGCACCUUGCGCCUCUUGGUAUUCCGAGAGGCAUGCCUGUUUGAGUGUCAUUAAAUUCUCAACUUCAAAAGCUUUUGUCUUUUUGAAGCUUGGAUGGUGAAGGCUUGCUGGCGUUUUAAAUGUCUCAGCUCCUUUGAAAAGUAUUAGUGGACCCGUUUGUGUUCAUUCCUUAGUGUGAUAAUUAUCUACGCUGUGGUCUUUGAAUGCAUAUGCGCUCAUUAGAAUCUUUCGAGCUGUUGUUUUUACUACAGUCUCGGUGUGGAGAGUUGCAUGAAUUUGCUCUUUCUGUCUCUUGAGUCAGGAUUGUCUGCUUCAAACCGUCUACACAUUGUAGACAAUUUUGAACCAUUUGACCUCAAAUCAGGUAGGACUACCCGCUGAACUUAAGCAUAUCAAUAAGCGGAGA